Molecule: RNA transcript, 1429 nt
Organism: Erinaceus europaeus (western European hedgehog)
Lineage: Eukaryota; Metazoa; Chordata; Mammalia; Eulipotyphla; Erinaceidae
Gene: C7H2orf80
Gene name: chromosome 7 C2orf80 homolog
Exons: 9
Source: RefSeq, a predicted model, not a curated record
UCAAAUUCUCUCUGAUUUGCUGUUGUAGCUUGUAGGCUCAGAUAGGCUGGAUCUUCUGCCCAAAGGCUAUCAGGUGCUGUGGAAGCUGCAGAUACCUGCUCCGUAGCAUCAGCCUCUGAUCAUGGAGAGAAGGCUCCUGAAGAAGGAAAUGAAAAAGCUUCUGGGAGAUUAUAUUGGCAUCAAACUCCGAGAAAAUGAAUUUGACCCAAAAGGAAGAAGGCAACUCACCCUUCUAGAUGAUAUGGCCCACUAUGACUUGGCCAUCAGUGUUGCUUUGCAGUGGCUUGAUCACUCAGAAGAAUUAACUUGGCUGGAGAAGGAGGAAGUGAAAAAGCCAUUCUGUGGCAAACCUAUAUAUUCAAACCGCAGAGAACGAGAAGCAAUGAUUUUAUCAUCUUAUGCUGGAAUCUUAAUGAACAGCAUCUCAAUUGAAGAAAUCUUUAAAAUUUAUGGGGCUGAUUCUUCUGUCAAUUCAUCCAAGAUAACAAGGGGACAAUUACAUACAGUUCCCAUCACCAGAGUUCUGUGUCCCAUCACCUUCAUAUGGGGUACAGAAGGCGGAAGACCCAGCUUUCAUAAUUGCUUCUCUACUGAAUAUGGACGUUGGUUCGCCGAGCUCCACCUUUCCAGCUCUCCUUGCACCCCUUUGCCAUACUCACAGCACCCAAGGCAGCAGAGUAUGCCCGCAAACAGAGUAUCAAGUCAAGAAGGAAAACAAUGAAUAAAAAUGACACCCAUAACCCUACAAGAGAAGCAAAUGUGGUGGAAUGGAAGUCACCAAAAAACUUAUCUUUGGAUACACAGUCAAAGAACAAAGUCACAUAAACAAUCGAAAUUGCACCAUGGAACUUCACAGUAAAGGCUCUAGGAGAAGAAAAGAAGCAUCUUAAAGCUGUACCUUUUGCCAGCGCUUUUUUCUUUACAGUCAACUACAUUGACGUGUUAUUUCUGAUGUUGUGCUUUCUUUUUUUAGGCAUGUACUUUAUGACUGCAUUAUUAUUUUUUAAAACAUGUAUCUUGAGUUACUUAAUUGUGACUUGGAGACUGUUAACUGGGGAACUUCAAGAACAUAAAUUGUUUCUCUUUCUUUUUUUUUUUUUUUUUACCAGAGUACUGUAAGCUCUGGCUUAUGGUGGUGCAGGGGACUGAAUUUGGGACUUUGGAGCCUCAGGCAUGAGAGUCUUUUUGCAUAACCAUUAUGCUAUCUACCCCUGCCUGAACAUAAAAUAUUUCUAUGUCAAGGCCAACUAACUUUGUACUAACCUUUGUACAAUGUGAAUUUUGCCACCAAAUAUUGCAGAGUGGUAGAGUUGGUGGCAGUUUUCCAAGCUGUCAAUCCAAAUAAUAUAAGUUUGUCAUUGAGUGUGUUCACUAUGUCAUCAUAUGGAAAUACUCAAAAUCAUUUUAAUAAAACACGAGUAGAAUCAUA